GCUCAGUAGUUGUGAUGCACAGGCUUUGUUGCUCUGCAGCAUGUGGGAUCUUCCCGGACCAGGGCUCGAACCCGUGCCCCUUGCAUUGGCAGGUGGAUUCUCAACCACUGCGCCACCAGGGAAGCUCAAGCUUUACAUUUUGAUCAAAGAAUGGAGAGGUGCGAGCUCCCGCAAAGGCUGUAGGCUGGGCUGCUCUAUAGGGUUCUUGUCAGCAGGGGUCGGGGUGGAGUUCUUGUGGUCCGGGGCAGCUGUGCUGCUCAGGCUUCAGAUCGCAGUGCCGGGCACAGUGUCUCUGCACACAGCCUGCCGCCACCAUCUUGAAUUGUGGUGUCGUGCGCAGCACUUCUGCACAUGGCCCUGCAGAGCUGAUGUGUCAGCACAGCCAUUUCCCACUAGGAACUCUGGUCUGAAAUGUCGAGUGCAAGGCCUCUGCACGUGGCACCCUGUGAGCAAGUGAAACUACACUAAGCACAAAGGAAAAAACCAGACUUUUAUUACCCAGAUUCUACUUUUAUUCCGAAGGAAAUGUUCAUGGGCUUUGCUGGUAACAAAUCCCUCCUCUGUCUUCUGUCCUGCUCUUCUUUCUUGAGGGGCGCUGAGGGGCAAAGAGGUUCGUCUUCUGCAACUGCUUCCCGCUGAGUUUGGGCGUCAUCAUAACCCUGGGAGAGGAGCAGAAUUUCUCCUCAGCUGCCUUUAGAUUGUCACCAGGGCUUAGCCCGGCUGUUCAUGUCCCUGAGCGACCACCAUUGGAAGUUUUAUAGAUUCUGACCUUUUGGAGACAAAGGACACCAGACAAUUUGAGAUGCAUGGUUCAAGUAUCAGCAAGAGGACAAAGGUUAUUAUUAAGGGGCCCAGGAAAGGUAGAAACCAAGUGACACUAGGGAGGGCCUGUUUCACCCGCUGCAUAUUUGUUGGGCCAGAUGAGGCUGCCUGGCCUGUCUGCCAAGUUGCUUUUUCUAGUAGCCUGUGUGCACUUUCUUCAAUCAGGCCACUUGCAUUAACAUGAAAGCAACUUGACCUAUUGGCCAGUGCACAGACCCCUCCCUGGUCAGCUAACAGAUAAUCUAGGGCAAUUCGGUUAUCUAGGACCAUAACAGCCAGUGAGCCAACAGAUUUUUGUAUGGGGUUUAAGGGUUUGUCCUGCUUCACAUGUCAAAUUUUUUCUAAUAAGUUGAAGUCGAGUCCAGUCUUGUUGGCCACUGUUGUACUGUGGCUGUUAUGUUUGUUUUUUUUUUUUGCGGUGUGUGGGUCUCUCACUGUUGUGGCCUCUCCUGUUGCAGAGCACAGGCUCCGGACGCGCAGGCUCAGCGUCCAUGACUCACGGGCCCAGCCGCUCCGCGGCACAUGGGAUUUUCCCGGACCGGGACAUGAACCCGUGUCUCCUGCAUCAGCAGGUGGACUCUCAACCACUGCGCCACCAGGGAAGCCCUGCUUCUGUUUUUUUAUGUUUUGUUUUUUUGGCCACGAGGCAUGUGGGAUCUUAGCUCCUCGAUCAGGGAUUGAACCCACCCCCCCCCCCUGCAUUGGAACGCAAAGUCUUAACCACCAGACCGCCAGGGAAGUCCCCCGACUGUAAACUUAAUUAAAGUUUGGAUCUGGUCCCACAGUUCUUAGGGUGACAUACCCCCUCUAAGCAUUGAGAUGCCCAGCCCCACGUUGAGUUGGGGGGCUUACCCAAGAACAUGUAUCCUUUUCGUAAGUGCACCAGCCCUGUGUCAUUGGUUUGGAUCUUUGAAGGGUCAGUGCUCUGGUUUUUCAUCCAUGUAAGUAUAUCCAGGGUCCUAUUAGGGCACCCAGGUACCAAACUCGACAGUUUUCCCUCGUUGGACUGCCUGAGUCACGUAAUUGUUGGUGCUAUUGACCCCUAAGUGUCACAGCUGGGACCAGCUGCGACUUCAACUUGUUAACAGUUUACCGCCUGCUGGGAAGAGGGUGCUAUUUAAUGCUUCCUCCUUGGUUAUUGGGGUUCCUCUUAAAUAUGUCUGACGGUCCUUUCCUGUUUCAGGUUGGGCGUGACAGAUCCAACAAUCAGUGAAGUUCCAUCCUUCCUGAAUAUCUCUGAUCAUGUUAUAGAAGAAAGUUUUUUGCCAUGGAGCGACAGUGGGGAGGACGUUUUAAUUCCCAAAAUGGGAAGUAUAAAUUGGAAGUAUAGGGCCCUCAUUUUGCAAGCACUGGGGUAAAUGUGUCUGCGGAGGGAGGGGCAAAGAAGACUCAGCGCGAUGGCAGCAAUCACCAGGGUAUCUUGUGUGCUGCCGCUUUUCCAGGUUUUUAGGUUCACCCAGUCUCCUGGCUGGAAGGAGUGUAGGGCCAGGUCAGUAGAUGCAGGAAGCACCUGGUUACCUUAUUCGUUGACAACUUUCAUGGUUUCUCCUACCUGGAGGGCAUACUUGAGUUGUUCCAUUUCAUGGGGGCUAAGGUGUCCCUUCUCUCGGGCUAGGGAAUGGGUCUACCAGACAUGAAUUCAAAUGCACUUAACUUUAAACUUAUCUCUUGGAGCAAACUGAAUGCAGAGCAGGGCGAUCAAUAGAAACUUAACCCAAUUUUCUUAGGUUUCCUGACAUAGCUUGACUAGGGCCCAUUUCAAGCUUUGACUGGAUCUCUCUACUUUCCCUAGUGAUUAGGGCCUCCAGGCUGAGUGCAAGGUCCAUUUUAUGCCCAAGUCACCCAUUAUCCCCUUCAUCACUUGAGGCGCGAAUGCUGGACCAUUAUUGUUUUGUCCAGGGACGUUUGUCCUCAGCCAUUAACAUUAUCAUCUUGUGCCCUUUGUCUAAGGGAAUACCAGUCUCCAAUUUGCCUCCCAUUAGGUGGAUAGUAGCCCAUGAUUUGUGUAAAAUAUCUCUUCCUAGCAAGGGUAUAGGGCAUUUGGGGACAUACAGGAAAGAAUGGUGGGUGAGCAUGUGUUCAUCCAAUUUACAUUCUAAUGGCUUUAUGAAUGCCCAUUCUUGGGGCUUCCCUGAACCAUUUUACAUUUUACCCCCAUCAUUUUACAAGUCUUGUGACCAGUUUUGCCUGAUCUGGGGUUCAGAACCGAGUUAAGUGUCAACUAAGACUUCAAUAGGCUUUCCCUGCUAUGUGCAGUGUCAGCGGGGCUCCUCGGGGGUCAAUUGGAACGCCAGCUUAGGAGCCCCCUGGCCUGUCUUUCUUCAUCUAUUUGGACCAUCUGCCUUUGAGGGUAGUGGCCAGAAUCUGCCAUUUCUGCCCCCUAUCAGGGGUGGCAAGGACAUUCUCUCUUCCAGGGUCCCUCUUUUUUACAUAUGGCGUGCCGAUUGGGUCCUAGUUUCCUUGGCUUGAGAUAGCCCCCUUGGUAGGGGCCAGGGGUCACUUACUGGAGUUGAGAGUUUCUGUGGGCAGUUAGUCCAGAUUCCUGUACUGACCAGUUGACAUUGGAGGGUAAUAACCAGUAGGUGGGCUUGACUCUGGGCCUUUUUAUCCUCUGACUUUUCUUCCUCUAUAGCUCUGCUAUCUUUGGCGAGUGGUUCAUAGGGCUCCCCAGCCCACUUCAGAGAAAAUAGCACUGACCAGAAGAGGCCAAGUUACCGCUCACGUACCUACUUUGGGAUCCUUUUGCACUCAGGUGUCCCUGGAGCCUUUUCCUGAACUUGGAUUGAGUGUCCUUGUUCCAUUUUGUCAGGCAUCCUCAUUACCUGGGCCUUUUCCCAGUCUCACCUCUUGGCUCACAGGGCUGGCCACUUUCCUUUACCAAACUGAAAUGACUAUGGACAAUGCUACUGUUGACCCCUGGAGGCCGACGAGGAGAACAAAAAGCCCUGGUGCGGCCACACUGCCUUGUACAGGGGCCAAGAGGAGCACUACUGGCGAGACAGUGGGAAGACUGCUGUAGCUCCCCCUGGUCCACAGGUCCCCAACAUUCCCCGGGUGUCUGGUAUGGAGAAAAAACCAGUCAGAGGCAGUGGGCAGACAUGCAUGAGUUUCAGUCUCCAAUCCCCAGUGAUGCCACAGUGUGAUCCCCUCAAGGGGGCACAGUCCAGAUGACUCAGUGCUGUGCUGUGUGUGCAGCACACCCGGUAUCAGUGUGCUGGGCAGAGUUAAACCGAAUUUGACUGAAGCCUUCUGCAGUUCUACCCUGUCAGAGUGAACUCAAAGAUCAGAGUCAAUCAUUCUCAGGUGAACCUCCCAAAGCCUCCGCCAUCCUCUUGCUGGAGCCAGGGCAAGUUCAGAGCCUUGUGGAUAGGUGCAGGUUAAAAGGGCAUGGAGUGCCCCAUCCUGGAUGCCAAAAUUUUGUUACUGACCCUCCCAAGUUGGUCCCUAACAAAGUUCGUUCAGCCCCAAUGUAGUUCAAGCCAAUAGAACGAGACCGAGUUCUAAGACUGAGUUUGUUUCAGAAGCAAAUGAAAGCUUUAUUCUUUAAUCGAGGAAUAGAGAGGUGUGAGCUCAUGUUCUAGAGCACACGCUCUCCUCAAAAGGCCAUUAGCAGGGCUGCUUUACAGGGUUCUUGUCCGCAGGGAGUAGGGGCAGAGCUCUUGUGGAAGAGGUGCAGCUGUGCUGCUCACAGGUCCAGAUCACAGUGCUGGGCGCAGCACCCCUGCACAUGGCCCACCACUACCAUCUUGAAUUGCAGUGUCGUGUGCAGUGCCUCGAGCCCAUCGAGCUGAAGUGUUGAGCGCAGCCAUUUUGCACUAGGAGCUUUGGUCUGAAGUGCCAGGUGCAAGGCCUCUGCAUGCGGUGCCGUAUGAGCAAGUGAAACUAGACUAAACACAAAGGGGGAAGAAAAAGGUCAAUCUCUCUGCGGGGGAAGCCAGACACCAUGCUACGAGGAUGCUCAAGCAGCCCUGGGGAGAGAUACAAUUGCUGGGGAGCUGACACCUCCCACAAACUUGCCAACCGUGUGAAUAAGCCAUCUUGGAAGUGGAUCCUCCAGCUCCAGUCAAGCCUUAAGAUAAACUGAACUGUACCCCCAGCCAACAUCUUCACUACAACCUCAUUAGAGACAAUGAGCUGGAACCACAUGACGAUAGUACUGACCUCAUAAGUUAAUAAAGAGCUGCUCUGGAAUUCCUGACCCACAGAAACUGUAUGAGAUAAUAAAUGUUUAUUAUUGUU
Orcinus orca (killer whale) is the source of this 5061-nucleotide long non-coding RNA. RefSeq lists it as uncharacterized. NCBI's taxonomy places the organism in Eukaryota, Metazoa, Chordata, Mammalia, Artiodactyla, Delphinidae. The transcript has 2 exons. The record is from RefSeq and is a predicted model, not a curated record.